GGGGCUGUAGCUCAACUGGUAGAGCGCUUGAAUGGCAUUCAAGAGGUAACGAGUUCGACCCUCGUCAGCUCCA
RNAcentral lists this transfer RNA (73 nucleotides) under Pseudomonadota bacterium. RNAcentral's name for it is "tRNA-Ala". It matches the Rfam family "tRNA". From Rfam's summary of the family: Transfer RNA (tRNA) molecules are approximately 80 nucleotides in length. The record is from RNAcentral. Lineage: Bacteria; Pseudomonadati; Pseudomonadota. RNAcentral also lists the same sequence under 2 other names.